GCCGGGUGCAGUGGCGCAAGCCUGUAAUCCUAGCAGCUCAGGAGGCUGAGGCAGGAGGAUUGCAAGUUCACAGCCAGCCUCAGCAACUUAGUGAGGCCUUAAGCAAGAUCCUUAUCGAGACCCUGUCUCUA
RNAcentral lists this small RNA (131 nucleotides) under Marmota monax (woodchuck). Lineage: Eukaryota; Metazoa; Chordata; Mammalia; Rodentia; Sciuridae. The record is from RNAcentral.